Molecule: long non-coding RNA, 303 nt
Organism: Liolophura sinensis
Lineage: Eukaryota; Metazoa; Mollusca; Polyplacophora; Chitonida; Chitonidae
Exons: 3
Source: RefSeq, a predicted model, not a curated record
CGAUCUGUUUCCGCGGUGCCCCCGGGACCUGCCCAAAUGGGGGAAGAUGUCUAAGCCCCGACAGGUGCUCCUGUCCCCGGGGGUUUUCCGGUUCACCCUGUUCAGAUAUAAACGAGUGCCUCCAAAACAAUGGUGGAUGCUCGGGCACUUGCACGAACACACAGGGAUCCUUCACAUGCAACUGUAGCCAUGAUUACCAGCUUGCUGCGGACAUGCGCACGUGUAAAGCAAUCUGCCAGGGACUUCCAGCAGGCACAUGUCGCAAUGGUGGUACCUGUGUUCAGCCAGGUGUGUGUGAAUGUC